ACUUGACUUCUCUGAGAAACUCCCUCUCAUGAUUAUAAAAUCUGAGCAACAAAGCGGAAAUUUCUGACAAAAAUUUUGAGGAAAGCUGCAGUAUCAUGCCACUUCAAGAAAUCUCACAGUCCAGUCUUCUAAUUUUCCAUCUAGUUCUAGUAGAAAAAAUUAAAAGGCCAUGAUGUGCAGGAUGUCCAAGAGUAGUUGGCCUUUACCAUCUCUGCCACAAUAGUACAUACAUUCAGCACUCUGUGAACAUUAGUGACUCCCCAUUUUGGGUUGCCAGAGAUUCACACAUCACUUUUAAAAAUCCUAUUUACAAUACAGUGAGCUUAGAAGGAUAAAAUUAAAGGAAAAAAGAGGGGGGAAAAAAGGGCUUCAAGAUUUCCUUGUUUAAUAGAAAAUAAGAAUAAGAGAUGGCAUAUGCACACAGUUCAGAAGUACACAUCCUACUUUUUCACAGGCCAAUUAAAAAAUAAAGGAAAACCACUCACAUCAGAACUAUUUCAGUUUGUUAUGGUCACUGCUGUGAUGGUCUUCAAGCCAGGCGCAGAAUUCAUGAUAGUAAAUUGCACACACCCAUAUUGUGGCCAUGAGCACAGGGAUCUAACAGUAGGGCUCAGAAGAGCUGGCACAUUGCACAUUUAGUAAUGUGAUUUAAGUUGUUGUUACUGAAGACAGGAACACAUCUCCAAACUGAUCUGUCUCCUACAAGUAGGCGCUUUUUAUGUGAAUUUCAUUCCCAGAGCUUGAAGACUUUCCAUGCAUCUGUGCACUCCAUUUGGACAUUUUGUUAAAGAAAUCUGCAUGCUUGUCUUUCUAGACAGGAAUGGAAGGGAAAGCUGGAUCUGCCUCUGUGCCAGGGGCUGUUGGUGAAGCCCUGGGACCAUGAUGUGAGCCAAAAUCCCAAUUCAUCCUCAGUGGACUCAAGCAAACACUUUCUUGGAGACUGUCCUGUCUCCUGGAGUUGUAACACUUUCCCCCUCUCCAGAUGAGCAAAGGUCCCCAUGAGAGCUGAGUUGAAAUGGUCCUGGGCAUAGGGAGAGGCCCGUGAGGAGCUGUGACUGUGCUCCAAAGUGGAAGCUGAUCCCCUCUUUCGUGCACAGGGUCACUGCCUGGGUUACACAGCAGCUCUGCAGGAACAUCACGUGCAGGAUCCCCACCACAUGGGCACAUCCCACAUGGAUCCAGGCAUGUGGGGACAUCCCAGGCAGGCCCCCAGGACAUCUAUCCAAUCAGUCCCCAGGAGGCACAGGUGCAGGAUCCCUGGCCCUGUCACUCUGAGGAGCUUCAUUCCCAGAGAUCAACCAGAUCUCAUAUGAUGCCUGAUAAAAAGAAAAUGACUUCCUAAUACUAUACAAAGCCUGUAAAAAAUGCACAUGCAAAUACACUCAAAUACUUGAAAUUAAAAUUCCAAUAGUAUAUUCUGUUUUCAUUCAUAUGUUAUUACUACUUUUUUUUCAGAAGUCAUAAAUUUUCCUGCUUUAAGUUGUUGCCUGAUAUAAAAUUAAUUCCAAAUGAGUGGGUUUUUACUGUAAAUGUCCUUGUUUUAGUUUUUCAGUUAUUUUUCAUAAAAACAUUUUACAUCUAACUACCUCAGCUGCCUUUUGUUUUGUUUUGGCGCAUAUGAAGUCAUGCACUUUCUAUAUUUGGGGAUUUGGGGGGAGGAAUUAUUUCAAUUUUAAAUAACCAGGUUCAAAGCCAUGUUGAUCAAUUUAUAGAGGAGGUCAGUUUAAGGAGACAUAAUUAUUGACAGUUGCAGAACAUACAUUUUAUUUUUAGGUUGUGUUGGGGUAUAGUUUAACAAAAAUACACCAUAAGCUGCUUAUUAAUUUGCCUUAAAAAUGUAUGCUCUUUCCUAUUCAAGUUGUGUUAUUUAAUUCUUCUCUUGUACACAAUUUAUGUGACAAAGACUAACAUAACAGUUGGCAGAUAAACAGCAAAUUGAACAGAGUGGACCAAUAGUUUCUCAGUUGUCUGUUGUAAACUGUUGCAUUAUACACUGAUUGUGCUAAAAGAAUUGUUACUGUGCUUAUACUCCUUAGUCACCACUGCGGAAAUAAAGUGAUGGAAGAUCACAUUUGUGUUUAUGGAACAGUGUAGAUACCCCCUCCCCCCCGCCCCAGUACAAGCACAGUGACUAUAAGUGAAUGAUAAUCAUUGCAGAACUUUGUGCUUUGACUUGUAAACAUUGUAAAAAUGUAUUUGGUAUUUUAUUUGAAAUGAAGAAUCAAAAUAGUUAUUAAAAAAAAAAAGAAAAAGAAAAAGAAAUCUUCCUGUAAAUAUAUAUAUUCUGAAUCCAUGUAUACAAACAUUCCUUUAGAGUUCAGAUUGUGAAGAGUGUCUUUAUCGGCUAGAGACCGCUGCCUCCCGUGGCGGAGGUUACAUGUGCUAUAGUAAAGAACACAGUGUGUGAAGUAAUUGAUGUACUGCAGUACCAUAGUUAUUUUGGUCUGUUAAGUAAGUUGCAAUUUGUGAUGAAAUGAAGUUGAAAGUAGUGCUUCAUACUAACAAAUUUCCUUGGUUACAACUUGAUUUUUCUUGUAAAACUUAAAAGGGAAACUUGAAAAUUUUAUAUAUUUGGAUUUUGUAGAUUUUUUUUUUAUUUUAUUGCAACACAAGGUACCAAAAUCAUUAAAUAAAGUACACUGUGGUCAUUUUA
Molecule: long non-coding RNA, 2653 nt
Organism: Vidua chalybeata
Lineage: Eukaryota; Metazoa; Chordata; Aves; Passeriformes; Viduidae
Exons: 2
Source: RefSeq, a predicted model, not a curated record